UUUAUAUUAAUGCAAUUACUUAUAGUUUGGGAUUCACAUAUGCCAUUUUGCUAUUUGUUCUCUGUAUGUCCCAUAUCUUUUUUGUCCCUCUAUUCUACUCCUGCUUCUUUUGUGUUAAAUAGGAGUUUCCUAGUAUACCAUUUUCAUUCCUUUGCCAUUCCGUUUACUCUAUUUUACAGUUUAUUUUCUUAGAGGUUGCCCUUGGAGUUACAAUUAAUAUCUUAACAUAAAAAUCAAGUUCAGAUCAAUAUCAACUUAAUUUCAAAUCUUUGCUCUUAAUAGCUUCAUAACCUCCUCAUGCCUUUGCAUUGCUAUUGUCAUAGAGAUUACAUUUUAUACAUUGUAUGAACAUCAACACAGAUUUAUGUAUAUUGUUUAUAAAGUCUUUUAAGUUAGGAGAAAAGACAGAAAUAUAACAAAAUUCAUUUUUAUUGUCUUUUAUAUUUACCUAUGUGAUUGUUGUUGCAUGUAUUGGCAGAACAACCAGGGAAGGAGACCAUCAAUAACAACCCUGCUGGGAUCACAUGCAAUUUGGGGAGUUAGAAAUGCUAUAUGCAUAUAUUAAGCUACAUUCACUUAGGAGAAAUCAGAGGAUGAUGGAGCAGGCUUAAAAGAAUUCCUCAAGCCACACACAGACCUAUAAACAUAGGGCAAAAGCACCAGUGGCACAGGAGCUUAAACACAACUUCUGUGCAAACACUGACUGAACCAUAGGCUACUCUGACCCAGAGGCAAAUCCUAGAAAUCCAGGAUGAACAAUAAAAUCAGUAUCAUCCCUGGAAAUGUAGAAGAAUGUGUAUCUGCCCUAGGCUAUGUCCUUGAAGGAGCAAUCAGAGAAGCAUCCUCCAAGCUACUAGUGGCUGAAUGAGGUGGUGGAGGGGGGACUAGGAAAUAUGUAAAUUCACUGAACUAUGAGAGCCAUUUCCAAGCCACCCACAUAUCCAAUGGUAAAGGAUAAUAAAUCUAAUUGACUAAAGGGGGCUUAAGCACAACCUUUAACCAAUAAAUAACUUAUGUCAACCUAGAGUCAAAACCUAAGUAGCCAGGCUAAAAGAUAAAAAUAAGGGAAAAAUAUCUGAGCGGAGACACCAGAGUUACACGUGCUGGGGAAAAUAGACUUCACAGAAUUAGUUCAGCCAAGCCAUCAAACAAACACAUGACCAAGUAAACAACAACAACCUCCAGGGUGUGGGGGGUGGUUCAGUAUUCAGAGUUGCUAUAAUAUGUUAUCCAACAUGCCCAGCUUUCAAUAAAACAUUACAACACAUGCAACAACUACAUAGGUAAAUAUAAGACAAUAUAAAUGAAUUUUGUAAUAACUCUGUUUUUCUCCUACUUACUUGACUUUAUAAAGCAACAUGUAUAAAUUUGUGUUGAUGUUCAUACAAUGUAUAAAUAUGUGGUUAAGGGGAGGCUGGUAGCCUCCUCUUAAUUAUUGUCUACCAAGAUCUUCACUGUUUACAACAAUGCCUGUAGGCAUAGCUUUUUUUUUUUUUUUUCACCGUUUCCAAGUUAAGUCAGUACCCUCAAGCAGAGCUACAGUGUCCUUUAUCCUUAUAUCCUCCCUUUCCUGCUGGGAAGAAUCCCUGAACCACUGCACCAGAGCUGGUGCCAGGGACCUGCUUUUACCUGAGUGAUGCUCCUGCUCUGUGAGACAGUGCUAGGAAGGGGUGGCAGCUGCUGGUCCUCUUCGAUUCCCCAUUUUGGAAUAGAAACUAUAUUUGAGGAAAAAUGUUUCCAGAUUUGUUGGAAUAUAUAAAUUUAUAAAUUCAAGAAGUUUUAUGAAUUCCAAACAGGAUAAUCUCAAAGAAAAUCACCUCUAUGCACAUCUUAUCAAACUGCUGAAAAUGAAAAGUAAAGAAAAUUUUGAAGUAGUUAGAGGAAAAUAACUCAAUACUUCUAGGGGAACAAUAAUUUGAAUGACUGUGGUUUUCUUAUCACAAUGAAGGCCAGAAAACAAUGGAACAUCUUUGAAGUGUUGAAAGAAAAGAAACGCCAUCCAGCAAAAAUAUUCGUCAAAAAUGAAGACAAUAUGAAAAUACUAUCAGAUGAAGGAUAGCCAAGAUAAUAUGUUGCCAGUAGACAUGCUGUACAAGAAAUAUGAAAGGAAGCUCUUCAGACUAAAGGAAAAUGAUGCCAGUGGGAAACCUGAACGUCAGGAAUGGAGAAGCAAUAGAAAUUAUAAAUAUCUGGGGUUGCAGAGGAAAUAUUGGACAUUCAUGCCUGGUGGUGAGAGAAGGUGAAGGGAAAGACAGUUGGACUGGGACUAGAGAAGAUAAAACAUUAUUCAUCAAAGAGGAAGAAAAGGCCAAUGGACACAGGAGCAAGUACACCAUCUCACUGUAAACCAAAGAAAGGGAAAUUCCAACCACAAUGAGAAGGUACUUCUUGUCUCCGGGGUUGGCAAAGAGGAAAAUGAGUGGCAGGACCUGAUGUGUCAGGGAAGCAAGGGGAGAACUGGCUCCUGCGGCACUGCUGAUGGGAGUGGUAAUUGGGGUCCUGAUCUCACGGGUGACGUGGCCCUCACGUGAGCUGGAGCCGACGAGUGCAGACGUCCUUUUAAUCCUAGUCUUCAUUUGGUCCGGUUGCCUUCUAUCUCACAGAGGGCGAGAGGAUCCUUGGCCUGGGGGAAGGAGGAGGAGGUAACUGCCUGGAUCCCAGCAGUAGGGCACUGUGCCAUUUGGGAACAAAGGAAUAGUCUGCCUGGAAUGUGCAGG
Molecule: long non-coding RNA, 2717 nt
Organism: Cebus imitator (Panamanian white-faced capuchin)
Lineage: Eukaryota; Metazoa; Chordata; Mammalia; Primates; Cebidae
Exons: 3
Source: RefSeq, a predicted model, not a curated record